This 190-nucleotide non-coding RNA is filed under the name unclassified sequences. RNAcentral's name for it is "manA RNA". It matches the Rfam family "manA RNA". From Rfam's summary of the family: manA RNA has been located in 5'UTR regions of genes of mannose or fructose metabolism. The record is from RNAcentral.
CGUGCCUGAUCAGCACAUUGGGUGUGACUGAAUAAACUUACUGGCAUAUAGCUGGUUAAGGUGAUACAACACAGGUGGUGCUGCUCCGAAAGGAGAAUCGACUUACCAGUCGGGUUGUAGGCAGAGAUGAUUUCUAAACUGUAGAAAUGCCCAUCUCUUGUUGGUAUACAGGAUUCCAACCACCCUCCCU